AUGGACACAUGCCAUCGCUGGAGCGGCGAGGAUGCCGCUGCCAAAACGCCAGCAGGCAGCGCGGGGCCAAAACCCACCGGCGGCAGAGAGGAGGGUCUGGCAGCCCGUCCCGGCACAGGGUGUAUGAUGGAGGACGGGCAGCGCGGCAGAGGCACGGCGUGGCCGAGGCAGGAACGGUGGCGGAUGGCAGAGCCGGAGAGGAGAGAGAUCCUCCACCCUGUGAGUGCCACCUUCCUCAGGGAACAAGGCCACACUGGAUGCAGCAGCCCUCAGCCUGGCCCCAGAUGCCACCGUGCCACCCAGCCCGGUGGUGGAAUCCUCCUGGGGCUGGGGUCUCAUGCCUGGCCAUGCCGUGGGUCACAUGAUGCGAUGGAUGUGGAUGUGCCACUGGUCUGGUCCUUGCUGGGAUGUGCCAAUGAUUGCCAGGCACUGGGACAUGGUGACAGGGACGGGACUUCCCCUGUGACCCCUCUGUGGCCGUUGGAUUUCAGCAUCCCUGGGAGUGUGUCCAGGUGAAGAAGUUCUGUCCAUCUGGAGGUUUAUCCAUCCAAACACCGGUAUACGUGGAGCUUUACCAAACAAGCUCAGGCCCUGCCAGCUGCCUCAUGGGCUGGGAUUUGUCCUGGGGAGGAGAAACAUCCUCCCAGCCACGCUCUGGGAGCACGGGAGGUUGACAGUGGCAUCACCCAGCAGGACCACAUGGACCCACCGAGGGCUGCGUCGGGAGCUGCUCUGCUCACCUGGGGCACCAUCAGUCCUAAUCCCAUGUCCUGGGGAUGCUCUGAGGGGGAUGCCCCCUCCCACCCCAAGCCAGGAGCUCUGGGUGUAGAGGGCUGGGCUCCACAGUGCGGGGCCAUCCCAACCCUCCAUCCCCAGGCUGGAAAAUCUUGUAACCCGGGUGGUGGUUUUUUUGGGAGAGGGAAGGGAGAAGCAGGGGGAGGAUGCUCUGGGGGGGCUGCGGGUGCCUGGACGCGGGCAGGGCGGGGGGGGCUGCCGGUCACUGCCAGGUUACAUCUGCCGGGGCACGCAAGAGUGACUCCAGAUGCAUUAGAAGUGCCGUGCUCCAAUUUCAAUUUCAUCGUCUCACAAUCAUUUUCAGGCUCCUCUUAGUGCCACAUUAACGAAGCCUGCUCGUUUGAAUGCAUAAUUAGCCCAAGCAUUCUACCUCGCUAAUUUCGAAGCAAGAGCGGGGGGCGAGGGGAGGGGGAGGGGGGGGGAAUUUGCAUAUUAAUUUAGCAGAGGGAGAGAAAAAUUGUUUACCACUUGCUUCUUGCUGUUGAUCACAGCGGACUUAACUCUUUCCCGGGUGCCAUCUGGAGCUGCGGAGCCGGGCGCCCGGCCGGCACGUGGGACGGGACGCAAAGGUUACGCGGCAGCAAUUAAAUCCUCCCUGCGGCGCCGCGGCCAUCCGGACCACCCCAGCUGCCUUGUGCUACUGGGAGCCAACUGGGAGCACUGGGGCUGCAGCUCCUGGGAGCACAGGGCAGGCGAAGGGCAGCUGGGGUGGAGGUGCAAGCUCCAAGGUGCACCCCAGCCCUCUUCUCCAUGUGGUCCUGGGGUGAAAAGUGACAUCGUCAACCCUCCCCCAACACCAAAGGGUGUCACGGUCCCAUCCUGGGUCUGUCCCUGCCAUUCUUGUAGCCCAGGCAGGCACAGGGAUGUCCAACAGCAUCACCCCUCCUGGCUCCAUGCAAAAUCCACCCUGUCACCCUCUGUGUGCCCCCUCCAAGGGGACAGCUCUGUCCCCACAUCCCACUUCGCUUUUUAGCCUCACCCACCCAUAACAUGAUGUCAGAUGCUCCCGUGUACCAUCCCCAGGGUGCACAGGGUGGCUCAUGGCAUCGGUGGGCCAUGGGAUGCCCACACCCACGGAGCACCCACGGACCUGUGUGGGCAGCCUCCCUGAGCACCGACAACUCGCUACACCACCACCCCCCCCCCGCCAAACCCUCCACCUCCCUUUGUUUGGGAGUCUGUGGGCGUCUUGAGCCGAGGUUGGAAGUAAUUUGUCUGUCUCCUGCAGCGGGCUGUCAUCUCGCAUCUGCGAACCAGUUCCAUUUGCACUGCCAGUAAAAAAUCUCAGGUCUGACAGGUAGUAAAAAAAAAAAAAACCAACCCUAAAAAAAAAAAUAAAAAUGGAGGAAAGCCUAAAAAAAAACCCCA
Molecule: long non-coding RNA, 2163 nt
Filed under: Calidris pugnax (ruff)
Lineage: Eukaryota; Metazoa; Chordata; Aves; Charadriiformes; Scolopacidae
Description: lncRNA (ENSCPUG00000009731.1)
Source: RNAcentral